GAGUUGGGAUCUUGAUCGGAGGGUAUCAACUGUGACUCUUGACAAUUGCAGUGCCAAUGAUAACAUGAUUGGCUUAAUGGACACAAGGCUUGGGGCGGCUAAUAUGCUAUUGAAAGGAAAAUGGCUGCACAUGCGGUGCUGUGCACAUAUUCUCAACCUCAUUGUGAAAGAUGGCAUGGCAGUAAUUGGAACUGCAGUUGCGCACAUCCGAGAAAGUGUUGCUUAUUGGAUUGCUACUCCAAAAAGGUACGAAAAGUUUGAGAAAACUGCUCUAGAUGAAAAUGUUGAAUUGGACAAGAAGUUGCAUUUAGACUGCAAAACUAGAUGGAACUCAACCUACAUCAUGCUUAGCAUUGCUAUACCUUAUAGGAAGGUUUUUGAACGUUUGGGUGAGCUUGAUAGGAACUAUGAUUGUCCAGCAGCAGAUGAUUGGACAUUUGCUACUAAUGUUCGUGAGAAAUUAGGGAUAUUCUAUGAGCUUACUGAGUUAUUUUCUGGGACAAAAUAUGUUACAGCUAACCUGUUCUUCCCUAAAGUAUGUGAGAUUAAACUUAAACUCAACUCUUGGGGUCAUGAUGAAGAUGAAACUAUUAGGAACAUGUCUGCUGCCAUGAUAGAAAAGUAUGAUAAGUAUUGGGCUAACAUCCAUGGUCUUAUGGCUGUUGCUGUUAUUCUUGAUCCACGUCUUAAGAUGACAAUGUUACAUGCUUGCUAUAUUGCUCUUUUUGGAGAAGAGGCUGCUGGAAAAUAUGUUACAGAGGCUCAGGAAUUGCUUACUAGUUUAAUGAAACAUUAUCAUGUGAUAGACCAAGACAAUGUGGCUACAUCCUCUGCUGGUGCCCCUUCUACAGUUAGUGCAGCUGCUGUGUUGUCCAUAUUUAAAACCCUUACUGCAAAUAAGAAGACUACAAGCUUUGUUAGAAGUAAGAAUGAGCUUGAUCGCUACUUAGAAGAGGAAACUCUUCCUCGUGAUGAGAAUAAUUAUUUUGAUAUCCUAGGCUGGUGGAAGUUGGAGGGAGCUCGUUAUCCUACUUUGAGGCUAAUUGCUCGUGACAUUUUGGCUAUUCC
RNAcentral lists this long non-coding RNA (1068 nucleotides) under Setaria italica (foxtail millet). RNAcentral describes it as "long non-coding RNA (SITA_LNC005068)". Lineage: Eukaryota; Viridiplantae; Streptophyta; Magnoliopsida; Poales; Poaceae. The record is from RNAcentral.